Molecule: ribosomal RNA, 488 nt
Filed under: uncultured bacterium
Lineage: Bacteria
Description: partial 16S ribosomal RNA
Rfam family: Bacterial small subunit ribosomal RNA
Source: RNAcentral
UGAACGCUGGCGGCAGGCCUAACACAUGCAAGUCGAACGGUAACAGGAAACAGCUUGCUGUUUCGCUGACGAGUGGCGGACGGGUGAGUAAUGUCUGGGAAACUGCCUGAUGGAGGGGGAUAACUACUGGAAACGGUAGCUAAUACCGCAUAACGUCGCAAGACCAAAGAGGGGGACCCUCGGGCCUCUUGCCAUCGGAUGUGCCCAGAUGGGAUUAGCUUGUUGGUGGGGUAACGGCUCACCAAGGCGACGAUCCCUAGCUGGUCUGAGAGGAUGACCAGCCACACUGGAACUGAGACACGGUCCAGACUCCUACGGGAGGCAGCAGUGGGGAAUAUUGCACAAUGGGCGCAAGCCUGAUGCAGCCAUGCCGCGUGUAUGAAGAAGGCCUUCGGGUUGUAAAGUACUUUCAGCGGGGAGGAAGGGAGUAAAGUUAAUACCUUUGCUCAUUGACGUUACCCGCAGAAGAAGCACCGGCUAACUCCGUG